RNAcentral lists this ribosomal RNA (366 nucleotides) under uncultured bacterium. RNAcentral describes it as "bacterial SSU rRNA". It matches the Rfam family "Bacterial small subunit ribosomal RNA", at positions 29 to 418 of the family's 1533-position model. The record is from RNAcentral.
AACGAACGCUGGCGGCAGGCCUAACACAUGCAAGUCGAGCGGGCGUAGCAAUACGUCAGCGGCGGACGGGUGAGUAACACGUGGGAAUAUGCCUUUCGGUUUGGAACAACUCGGGGAAACCCGUGCUAAUUCCGGAUACGCCCUUAGGGGGAAAGGAUUUAUCGCCGAAAGAUUAGCCCGCGUCCGAUUAGCUAGUUGGUGAGGUAAACGGCCCACCAAGGCGACGAUCGGUAGCUGGUUUGAGAGAACGACCAGCCACACUGGGACUGAGACACGGCCCAGACUCCUACGGGAGGCAGCAGUGGGGAAUCUUGGACAAUGGAGGAAACUCUGAUCCAGCCAUGCCGCGUGAGUGAUGAAGGCCUU